GGUAUUGCAGAUAUAGUUUUAAUUAAAACAUUAGAUUGUGGUUCUAAAAAUAGAGGUUAAAGCCCACUUAUCCGCCGA
Molecule: transfer RNA, 78 nt
Filed under: Gastrodermus hastatus (dwarf corydoras)
Lineage: Eukaryota; Metazoa; Chordata; Actinopteri; Siluriformes; Callichthyidae
Description: Corydoras hastatus (dwarf corydoras) tRNA-His
Rfam family: tRNA (bases 7-76)
About the family: Transfer RNA (tRNA) molecules are approximately 80 nucleotides in length. Their secondary structure includes four short double-helical elements and three loops (D, anti-codon, and T loops).
Source: RNAcentral